AUGGCGGACGUUCCAGCAACUCCCUCGUCCAGUAGAUCGGCUGCCACGACGGCUGAUUCUACUGCCCUAGCAGAUGAUCUGGCGCCUCGCGACAGAGCUACCUUGGCGGACCUUGACGCCCCCAGCCUGGCUGUUGCUGGGUCUGACGUCAUGGCGCCCGCCUCCCCGUUCAUGACUUGGUCUCCGCCCACAGCUUCUGCUUCGCCUUCUACACCAACGACAUCGACCACUCCGUCGUCCCCGCCUGCGCCUCGUCCGGUGCUGCCACCGGCGGCCUCGCAUCAGAUGGUGACCCGGCUCAAGAAUAAUGUCAUCAAGACGCUGAAACCGUCAGAUGGCACUGUUCGGUACGACCCGCGCCGUCGUGCGUUCCUUCCCGUGCCCACCUCGUCACGCCAGGCCCUCUCUGAUGAACGGUGGCGUGCCGCCAUGCUCGAAGAAUUUCGUGCACUUCAAGCAAAUAACACGUGGUCACUUGUUCCUCGGCCUCCCCGUCAAAAUGUCAUCGGUUGUAAAAUGGGUGUUCAAGGUGAAAGAGCAUCCCGAUGGCACCAUUGA
RNAcentral lists this ribosomal RNA (558 nucleotides) under Triticum aestivum (bread wheat). RNAcentral describes it as "partial small subunit ribosomal RNA". Lineage: Eukaryota; Viridiplantae; Streptophyta; Magnoliopsida; Poales; Poaceae. The record is from RNAcentral.